GACGUAGGUGGCAAGCGUUGUCCGGAGUUAUUGGGCGUAAAGCGCGCGCAGGCGGUUCGGUAAGUCCAUGGUGAAAGCGCCCGGCUCAACUGGGCGAGUGCCGUGGGGACUGCCGAGCUGGAGGGGAGCAGAGGCGAGUGGAAUUCCGGGUGUAGUGGUGAAAUGCGCAGAUAUCAGGAAGAACACCUAUGGCGAAGGCAGCUCUCUGGGACGGUACUGACGCUGAGACGCGAAAGCGUGGGGAGCGAACAGG
Molecule: ribosomal RNA, 253 nt
Filed under: uncultured bacterium
Lineage: Bacteria
Description: partial 16S ribosomal RNA
Rfam family: Bacterial small subunit ribosomal RNA
Source: RNAcentral